AAUGAACGCUGGCGGCAUGCCUUACACAUGCAAGUCGAGCGGACAGAUGAGCUAGUUGGCCCGCUGACUGUCGCGUCGCAAAGGUGAGUGACAUGUGUAGGACCUUGCUUUUUAGCUGGGGAUAACGCGGGAAACCUGACGUAAUUACCGCAUAUUUAUUGAACAGGAAAGCAGAAUACCUUAGGACGUUUCUCUAGUCGAGCAUCGGAUGUCCCGCGCCGCAUUAGCUAGUUGGUAAGGUAACGGCUUACCAAGGCAACGAUGCGUAGCCGAUCUGAGAGGGUGAUCGGCCACACUGGAACUGAGACACGGUCCAGACUCCUACGGGAGGCAGCAGUGGGGAAUUUUGGGCAAUGGGCGAAAGCCUGACCGAGCAACGCCGCGUGAGUGAAGAAGGUCUUCGGGUUGUAAAGCUCUUUUGUUUGGGAAGAAAACGUGUGCAAGUAACUAGGCAGGUGAUGACGGUACCAGAACAGGAAGCACCGGCUAACUACGUG
This 497-nucleotide ribosomal RNA is filed under the name uncultured bacterium. RNAcentral's name for it is "partial 16S ribosomal RNA". It matches the Rfam family "Bacterial small subunit ribosomal RNA", at positions 29 to 507 of the family's 1533-position model. The record is from RNAcentral.